ACCUGGCUGGCUCAGUGGGAAAAGCAUGCGACUCUUGAUCUUGGGGUUGUGUGUUCGAGUCCCAUGUUGGGUA
Molecule: non-coding RNA, 73 nt
Organism: Ailuropoda melanoleuca (giant panda)
Lineage: Eukaryota; Metazoa; Chordata; Mammalia; Carnivora; Ursidae
Source: Rfam